This 273-nucleotide long non-coding RNA is filed under the name Phoenix dactylifera (date palm). RNAcentral's name for it is "long non-coding RNA (PDAC_LNC010976)". Lineage: Eukaryota; Viridiplantae; Streptophyta; Magnoliopsida; Arecales; Arecaceae. The record is from RNAcentral.
CAAAGGCUCACCAACCACAACCUUACAACGUUGGUUUUCCCUUUGGCUCACCAACAAACCUUAACCCCUUGAUUCAAUCCCUUGAUUGAAUCAAUUUACAAGAUAUUAGAACAAGAGUUUAAAUCAAAUACAAGCUUCUCAAAUAAGCAAAUAUAGCAAAUAUAAACAAGUAAAUUAAAGAGAAGAAGCCCUCAAACAAAUUUGUAGAUGAAGGAACUCGGCUUCUUCUUUACUUGACCCUCUUCUGAUUUUGCACGAAGUAGAGGAUCACCG